AGAGUUUGAUCAUGGCUCAGAACGAACGCUGGCGGCGUGGAUAAGACAUGCAAGUCGAGCGGGAUUUUCUUUGGUAGCAAUACCGAGGAAAAUUCAGCGGCGAACGGGUGCGUAACACGUGGGCAAUUUGCCUUAAAGUGUGGGAUAGCUCGGCGAAAGCCGAAUUAAUACCGCAUGUGGCUACUGGAGACAUCUUCGGGACGCUAAAGGUGGCGCAAGCUACCGCUUUUUGAGAAGCCCGCGGCCUAUCAGCUUGUUGGUGAGGUAACGGCUCACCAAGGCUAUGACGGGUAGCUGGUCUGAGAGGACGACCAGCCACACUGGGACUGAGACACGGCCCAGACACCUACGGGUGGCAGCAGUCGAGAAUUUUUGACAAUGGGGGAAACCCUGAUCGAGCGACGCCGCGUGGAGGAUGAAGGUCUUCGGGUUGUAAACUCCUGUCAUUUGGGAACAAGGCGCGUGUAUUAACUGUGCACGCGUUGAUAGUACCAGAAGAGGAAGAGACGGCUAACUCUGUGCCAGCAGCCGCGGUAAUACAGAGGUCUCAAGCGUUGUUCGGAUUCAUUGGGCGUAAAGGGUGUGUAGGUGGCGCGCUAAGUCGGGUGUGAAAUUUCGGAGCUUAACUCCGAAACUGCAUUCGAUACUGGCGUGCUUGAGGACUGGAGAGGAGACUGGAAUUUACGGUGUAGCAGUGAAAUGCGUAGAUAUCGUAAGGAAGACCAGUGGCGAAGGCGGGUCUCUGGACAGUUCCUGACACUGAGACACGAAGGCCAGGGGAGCAAACGGGAUUAGAUACCCCCGUAGUCC
Molecule: ribosomal RNA, 810 nt
Filed under: uncultured bacterium
Lineage: Bacteria
Description: bacterial SSU rRNA
Rfam family: Bacterial small subunit ribosomal RNA
Source: RNAcentral